AAGCAAGUAUGUUGUUGUGAAUAGCGCAUAUACAAACACUGGGCGAGGCGGCCACAAUCUUUCGUCCUCAAAUUAGGGACUACAGUAUUUUAUAUUGAACUUGCACAAAACCCAGGAGUGGCCGUGUAUCUCUGAAUCGUUACCAUU
Molecule: long non-coding RNA, 147 nt
Organism: Acyrthosiphon pisum (pea aphid)
Lineage: Eukaryota; Metazoa; Arthropoda; Insecta; Hemiptera; Aphididae
Exons: 2
Source: RefSeq, a predicted model, not a curated record